Long non-coding RNA from Mobula hypostoma (lesser devil ray), 576 nucleotides. RefSeq lists it as uncharacterized. The record is from RefSeq and is a predicted model, not a curated record. The transcript is spliced from 3 exons. Lineage: Eukaryota; Metazoa; Chordata; Chondrichthyes; Myliobatiformes; Myliobatidae.
GGAACUCAUCGGGCCAGGCAGCAUCUAUGGAAAAGAAUACAGUCAACGUCUUGGACCAAAAUACCAAAAUGUUCUGGCAGGACUGGAAAUUUAAAAGAAAAAGACAUGCUGCACAUCAACAGAUACAGUAGGUGGAUGAGGUUCUGUCAGAGUGCUUGAUCUACUGCUGCACUCAGAGUGUGGUUCUUUAUGGUGACGGCUCCUGCUCCCAGAGCUCACCGAUAUCCCCUGGAAGAGGUGCAUGCCUGGGGUUCUGAGGCUCUGCAGUCCUGUGGAGGAGCUGAUUCCACACCGCUGUCACCGACUGAAGCAUCAUGGGAGAAAACGGAACGUCUCGAACAGUGGAUUGGCUGUCCAAGGCCUCUGUACUCAGAUCGCUCUCCCUUUCUCUUGAUGGUGGGGGAGAGUUUGUUGCUGAUUCUCGAGUUGGAAAACUUAAGAUAAGAGUGAUGCAGCAGACUUUAACAUUGCAAUCAGGGAGUUGUUCUGUUCAGUUAGUCUCUCCUCUCGCUGUGUAACACCUCUUGGUCCCAUUAUUAGGGAGAGAGAGAGAGAGAGAGCCUGUGGCAUGUUGAA